AAAAAUCAAAACAAUUUAUAAUUUGAAAUAGAUGGAGUACUAAAGUACUAAGCAACACGCUGAAUUAUAUUGUUAGAAACUCUAGAAAUCUUAAUCACAAUGCAGAAAAUCUGGAUUGAAUUAUUACUAACAUCUAGUGCCCUCGCGUAGACAUUCCACUCCAGCUCCAGCAUGCAGCAGCCAAAAGCCCAAAAAGAAGCAACAACACCGCCUGUGAAAAGAAAACACACAUAACCAGAGCCGCGAAUAUCGCAACGCCCAUAAAAAUGUGACGUGCCACACAAACCUUCAAGCCCAGCGUCGCCAACCAUCAAACCCAACCCAACCAAACCAAGCAACGCAAUUCCCCCAUCCCCGAACCAGCGCCGCCGCCUCCUCUCUCCGCCACCGCCACCGUCCGGACGCCCCCCGCGCGCGCCUCCUCGGACCCCCGCACCCCAAGCUCUCCAUCCCGCCGUGGAUCACCGUGUGAGGAGGGGCGCACCGGCCGGGCCCCGGCGGCCCAGAUGGUGUCCGGCGCCGGCGGGGGCGAGUAGCGCGAUCGGCGGCGGCGGCGGCGGCGAACGGAUCGGCGGCGCGGCGAGGCGGCGGCGGGGGCCACCAUGUCUGCGGUAGUGUGCGGCAAGAGGUCCUCCUCCAUCUUCGGCGACGAGCUUAUACCUUCCCCUUCCUCCCCUCCGUCCCCUCCCCAUCACCAUCAUCCCUCCAAGCGGGCUCGCUGCUCCCCGGCUCGCCGGAGGGAGGCGCUGCUCCACCACCUACUCCCCCUCUUCCCGGACAUGGAUCCCCAGGUUCGUCUACGUGCUUUGUUUAUCUAUAAUUAGCAAAAUUCGGUGAGAAAUGGCGCUUGGAUGCGGAAAGGUGGCUCAUUUGGUUCUAACCGAAUUUUCUAUUUCAUGGGUAGCGCGUUUUAGAAUCUAGAUCUUGCUACUGCGUAUCAGAUAAGACUGCUCCAGCUAGGUGGAUCUAGAUGGUAUCGAUUUUGGUGUGAGCACUUGGAUGCGAAAAAUACACAUUCUUAUGGUAGUAGAUUCAUGAUUUUGCAAUUUUUUUAAGCUAUAGUGUCUGGUGGAACAGGACUCUCUUUGUUCUAAAGUUUUGGUUUUUAUUGCAUAACUUGUUGUGCAGUGUUUUUACUAAGUGAAGUUAGGUUGAGGCAUUUAGAUGAUUGGCAUAUCUGUUUUCAAGGAAAAAAUGGAGCUAAAACAUUUGAUGCAUGUCUGUUCAUUUUUUUUUACACAAUGCUUAUGAAUUAAACAAAGAAUUGUACUUGGGUGUUCAUCAAGCAGAGAAAAUAUGAAUACUGACAUGUGAAAUUCCCAGUUUGAGGACAUAGUAGUUUAUAAUCGCCCAAAUGGUUCCCAGUUGAGGACAUAGUAGUUUAUAAUCGCUCAAAUGGCAAGAUUAUCUCAACUUUCAUCUAGUUUUUGUGCCUUGUUUGGAAUACCCACCAAAAAGUUUGAUGUUCUGAUGCCUGACCAUUUCUCAGAAUCUUAAAAAGUUAUCUGUUUAUGAGCUGUCCAGUUUUGCAGUUCGUGUUUAUUUGAAGCUCGUAUUGGGUUUGCAAGUUCAGGAAGUUUUUUUCAUGGUAGUGUGUCACCUUUCCUUCUUGCACUUGGCAGUGCCCUAUGUGAUGUUAUUUAUUUUGUGGAAUUACAAUUCUCAUUUCAUUAUUUAUUGAAAAUGGUGCUUUCACUCAUAUGAAUUCAAUGGAACCAAUGUUUUAAAUAGCGGCUGAUUGCCGCCACGACAGUGUUACACUAAAUAGCAGUCUGUAGCGACGCUAUAACGACUGAGCAUAGCUCUCUGCUAAAUUCUAUAGCCCGCUAUUUAAAACACUGAAUCGAACUAGAUAUUUAUAUCAAUUCUGUUUGAGAUGUAUUGGACUAUUGUAGAUAUGUAGAUGAUACUGACAGGUCCAAUGUACAUUUGACAAUCACCCACGUAUUUUGAUAUAGUAAGCUUUUGGAAAAACCUGUACCCAUUUGUGCUAGCUAACAACUAACAACAUUUAUAUUGGUCUAUGUCAUGUGUCCCACACAUGUAAGAUUUUCUUAUAUCGCCAUGGUAUUCACAUAUAUUUUGUGACAUGUAUCCUUUGUUUGGAAUAUAUGUUUCUGGUUAUGUGGUUGUUAUCUGCAGCUGGGCACUUCGUUUGAAUAUUACCAUUUUUUUAGAGAUUGGCAAUUAUAUGAUUGUAUUCUUGAUUAUAGCUUGUCUUGGUAGUGAAUAAAUCAAGUAUAUGAUGUUGAUUUUCAUUUGGGUUACACUGAUACUGAUUUCUAAAAUGAUGCCAGUUGCUCGAAAGAGCUCUUGAGGCAUCUGGAGAUGAUUUAGAUUCUGCAAUAAAAAGUUUGACUGAGCUGCGCUUGGAGUCAGCUGAGGCUAUCCUAUCCGCUACUGUUGGUGCAUCAGAGAAUGGUCUAUCGGCAGCUCUUAAGUUGUCAGCUGAAGGUAUCUUGAUUGGAUUUCAUUACAAGGCAGUUGCAUGAAAUAAUUUGUAGCAUAUAUUAGUCGUGCAUUCACAUGUUUGAUUACUGGUAAGAACUUUGUUAGAUUAAUGUUUGCUACAGUUAAAAAUCCACUUGCUUGGUGUUGCCUAAAUUUUUGGGCAAUGCCAUCAAGGAGGCAUCUUUUGUUGUCUUUCCAACAUUGCAGCAUAUGCCUAUUUCCUGUUGAUCCAGAUUUCCCACUUUGUAUUAUCAGUGUUUAUUUGAGGUAGCAGCGAAUGCCUGUACUUUGUAUUGGCUAAAGCUAACUAUCAGGUGUGCCAACCGUCUUAGUUCACCUUCUAUCUUUUCUUUUUCUUGGGUAUUACUUAGGCUUCUAUUUGUUCUAGGAUAUGUACAUUCAGAAAUCACUUGUUUUUGCUACAUCUUCAUAAAUCAUUUCCUUUGAUGCUAACUUUAUGAUUCUCAAUCUUGGACAGGCACUGUCAGUAAUGGCCGUGUAGUUACUGAGCAUCCCCCUGCAAUUGAUAUUAAUAAGACAAAUAAUCAUAGCUCUGAAUGGGUUGAGCUAUUUGUCAGAGAGAUGAUGAGCUCCUCCGACAUAGAUGAUGCACGAGCUCGUGCCUCCAGGGCUUUGGAAGCAUUUGAAAAAUCCAUCAUGGAUCGAGUAGGGCCUGAAGCAGUGCAGAAUUUGCACAGGGUACUAUAGCAUGCAUCACUAGGCAUUUUGAUCUGUUGGACCUGUGCUUGCUGGGAAGCCUAAGUGGUUAUGUUUUUACUUGUCCAUAGGAAAAUGUGAUGCUGAAGGAGCAACUAGCAAUAAUACUGCGCGAAAAUGCUGUUCUGAAGCGCGGUGUUGCGAUACAGCAUGAGCGCCAAAAAGAGUUUGAUGCAAGGACUCAGGAGGUUGACAGCCUGAAACAGUUGGUGCUGCAGUACCAGGAGCAGCUAAAAACUCUCGAGGUACUCCACGCUCAUCACCUGUUGCAAUUUUGACCCUUUCACAUUUUACUGUAAAAAUGUUAAUCUGGGAAUCGUGGUUCAUUGCAGAUAAAUAACUAUGCACUUAGAGUGCAUCUGAAGCAAGCUCAGCAGAACAAUUCUAUGCCUGGACGUUUUCCCCCUGAUGUCUUCUAAUAAAUGUUGUGCUUAUGUACCUCUCAUAAUAAACACCAUGAUGUAUUUAAAGUGAGGGAGAGGGAUUCACGUAUCGCUACUGUGAUAUAGUGACUCAGGACCUUUAGGCCGAGAGCUCAAAUGUUGCAUAUACCAGCAAAUCACCCAAUCAUCAGGCUUACGCAGCUACGAAGCAUCGACAUAAGGUCCGGAACUCCUGUUUACUUGGAGGUUGAACUGGUAUGUGACAUUACUGUCUGCUUGGCGGUGCACCCUGGUGCUUACUGUCUGCUUGUGACAUUAUGGGUUGCGUCAUUGCGUGGGUUGGAAUUGUAAGAACUGAUGCAUUGUAAUAUGGAACGCAGAAGAAUCAAGCGAUGUACUGGUUAUAUUGAGAGAGAGAGGAUGUUUUACCAGCUAGAACUGUUCAUGUUUAAGAGACUUCUGCAAUCUGAAUCCAGUUUACCAGCUACCGAACCCGUACGUCCAUCUGGAUGAAUGAAUAGCUCCACCAGUAUGUUCCCAGGUAGCGGUCGUCACCACGUCGACCAAGACUGAGCUCUCUGCCGUUCCCUUGGACGAAACGAAACAAAACGCUGCGCUCGGCGCGGCGGAGCCAGCUGCCAGGAUCCGCGGGCCGCGCGCCGACACGGCCACAGCGUGAUCCCUGCGGUCGCGCUGGACGAGAUCACCGGCCACCUGCACGGCGCCCGCCGGCGACUUCCUCCGCUGCGGUCCGGGGUAAGAAGAUACACGUGGCCCCUGACGUCGGUAGCGCCCGUGUCCGCGCCAUCGAUCGCGCCUAUUCGAAGUCAAGAGGUACUCUGCUCGUGUGCCGGCCUCGAAGCACACCGCGGUGACCUCGCGGCGGCCGGUUACGCUGUCCUGCGGUGCCGCGCCGGCGCCGCUGCCGGCCUCUCCAGGUCAACGACUCUUCCCUUCCAGGCUCAUCUAUCUCCGACGGCAGCAUAGACAUUGAAAGCAUCCAUCUGAGCGACAGAGCGAGUAGUUCCAUUCCACCAGCGCACGCUGCACCUCGCGGUCGCGGUGUCCAUACUGGCAUCCCGGCACCUGAACGCGGUGCCGUGACGGCGCCCUCAUCUCGUCGAUGAAGCGGAGCGACAGCGUUCUUCUCGGCUUCUCGCCGGCGGUCCGGAACGGGAACACGUCUCACACGGUCACAUCGUCUUGGGCCCAGGAGAGCUGGCGGUGGCGUGCCAGUCGUCAAUGGCGCCGGCCGGCCUCAACCAGGGGUCCACCCUGGGCCUAUCCAGGACGUUGGAUAGGAUUUAUACGGCCGAGGUCGACGCGGAUAACUACACGCACCCAAGGCCCUUUUCGUCUUCCUCUUGCGGUCUCGCCGGCCGGCUCGCCGCCCUCGCCGUGGCGUCAAACCGAGCCGCCGCGACGGCUUCCACCACCUCGAUGGAGGGAGUCGACGGAAACUUCUCCCUGGGAAGCUGGAACACGUUUCGAACCAUCUCGAUCUCGCAGGAGAGCUAGCGGUGGAGUCCUCGGCGGCGUGGUCGUCGCCACUGGUGGCGGGCAGUCGGACCCUACGGGUGGACGGUAAAUGAAAUACCGUCCACCCCUGGGCCUAUAUCGGACGUUGGAUCGGGCUUGGGCGGUCGAGAUCGGCGCGGACGCUGCAAGGUACCGAGGCGCCGAGGCCCUCUCCGCCGGUCUCCGCCUUCGCCGCGCGACGCAUCCCAAGGGUUCCCCUCCACGACGUGCGCUGCGGCGGCACCGUCCAAGAUGGCAGCGCCGGCAAGAAUCGCCGCCCAUCUAUGGCAGAGCCAGCAGGGAGCGUCGUCUACUCUGUGCCGGCGGCCGCGCCGUGGGCAUUGGCGCAAUCGAACCGCUCCGAGGUUUGUAGAAGCUGGGCAUGGAGAUCGUGGUCUUGCCGUUGCCGCACCAGUCCGUAUCACGGCCAGCAGCUCCAGCGCUGCAUUAAGAGUGCUCAGCUCAGACGCCGCCAAUGGCUGCAUGGCGUACCCUCGCCAUCGGCGUCUUCCACGAUGACCCCCGCAACCGGCUGUCGUCAUCAAACCGCUGACUGCAGGUGCCACCUGGGCAUCUUGUUCGAUGCGCUUACCGCCCCUCGCCCCCACCUCUGAAUGGCCAGGCAAAUGCAAGGAAUCAUCGUCCUCCCUAACCACGGAGGUGGCCUGCUUUUUGGGCGAGCACCCGAAGUGGACCGUGAGGAAGGAGGUUUUAUGUGGAUCCUGCCUCGGUGCGUCCACGACGUACGCUGGAACUAGAAUUGUGUGCAACUACGCGAUCGCCAACAUUGCUCUAUCUGUGUCUUUCGAUUGCCUAUAUCGAUCAUAAUAUCAAAGACGUGGUGAUCUGAAGAACGCACUACAGUAAGUAGUAGAUAAAGAAGUGCAGAAAGGUGAAGAACGUUCAAACUGAAGCAAGUUUUUGCCCUAAUGUGAUUAAGGGCCACUUUGGCAGGGCUUCCCUACCGGCUUCACCACCGGCUUCGGGGGAAGCCCUACCAAAGGGGCAGAAAAAAACAGCUUCGUCCAGGGAGCACCGCAAAAUGCGGUAACUGAAGCCGAUCGAUGGAGCGGGAGCCCAAAAAAGGCCCUCCCCGUGGCUCCUUCUCCGUCCCCGCAUCUACCAAGACCAAACUGCUCUUCAAGUUGGCAAAAAUCUCACCUGAAACUGUCAUCCGUCGCUGCCCGGCGUCCAUGCCUCCAACGCGGCUGUAGAUGCCCGGACCGGCGGCUCCUCGUCGACUAGUGCUGGUGCGAGCGCGCCGCCCGCCUUUGCCGCGUGGCCCAGCAUCUCCUCGUCGGCCGCUAGAUGCAGUUUGGGCGCGAGGCAAUGGAGCAGCGUGGUAGGGCCCGCAGCACGGCAAAGGACAUAGCAGCGCGAAGUGAUGGAGCUGGAUCGAGCAAUGGGCGAUGAGGAGGAGAGUGACAGGAGGAAAAGGAGAUGAG
RNAcentral lists this long non-coding RNA (6514 nucleotides) under Setaria italica (foxtail millet). RNAcentral describes it as "long non-coding RNA (SITA_LNC000138)". Lineage: Eukaryota; Viridiplantae; Streptophyta; Magnoliopsida; Poales; Poaceae. The record is from RNAcentral.